This 253-nucleotide ribosomal RNA is filed under the name uncultured bacterium. RNAcentral describes it as "partial 16S ribosomal RNA". It matches the Rfam family "Bacterial small subunit ribosomal RNA", at positions 524 to 776 of the family's 1533-position model. The record is from RNAcentral.
UACGUAGGGUGCGAGCGUUAAUCGGAAUUACUGGGCGUAAAGCGUGCGCAGGCGGUUCGUUGUGUCUGAUGUGAAAGCCCCGGGCUCAACUUGGGAACGGCAUUGGAAACUGGCGAGCUAGAGUGUGGCAGAGGGGGGUGGAAUUCCGCGUGUAGCAGUGAAAUGCGUAGAGAUGCGGAGGAACACCGAUGGCGAAGGCAGUGUCCUGGGGAGUACCUGACGCUCAGGUGCGAAAGCCAGGGGAGCGAACGGG